CAGCUGGGGGGGCCUCGUCUGCUUGGAAGUGACUUCUACCUCUGCUCCAGGUGCGAAUCCCCUUCCUGCUGGACAAGAUGAAGGAGGCUGGGAAAGUGUUUCUGGCCACCAGCAGCACCUACAACUACACGGAUGCCAUCAGGACCUACGUGCUGGCCUUGGUGAGGCUGACGCCUCAGCCAGGCCCUGGAGGUCCUACUUCGACCCGAUUGUGG
This 215-nucleotide long non-coding RNA is filed under the name Ursus maritimus (polar bear). Its description in RNAcentral is "lncRNA (ENSUMAG00000008602.1)". The record is from RNAcentral. Lineage: Eukaryota; Metazoa; Chordata; Mammalia; Carnivora; Ursidae.